This 312-nucleotide ribosomal RNA is filed under the name uncultured Anaerolineaceae bacterium. Its description in RNAcentral is "bacterial SSU rRNA". It matches the Rfam family "Bacterial small subunit ribosomal RNA", at positions 1055 to 1382 of the family's 1533-position model. The record is from RNAcentral. Lineage: Bacteria; Bacillati; Chloroflexota; Anaerolineae; Anaerolineales; Anaerolineaceae.
UCAGCUCGUGUCGUGAGAUGUUCGGUUAAGUCCGCUAACGAGCGCAACCUCGUCGUAUGUUAUAUGUGUCAUACGAGACUGCCGGUAAAAAGCCGGAGGAAGGUGAGGAUGAUGUCAAGUCAGCAUGACCUUUAUAUCCAGGGCUACACACACGCUACAAUGGUCUGUACAAUGGGUAGCCAAGCCGCGAGGCGGAGCCAAUCCUGAAAGCAGGCCUCAGUUCAGAUUGCAGUCUGCAACUCGACUGCAUGAAGCCGGAGUUGCUAGUAACCGCAGGUCAGCAAUACUGCGGUGAAUACGUUCCCGGGUCUU